Molecule: long non-coding RNA, 702 nt
Organism: Puntigrus tetrazona (Sumatra barb)
Lineage: Eukaryota; Metazoa; Chordata; Actinopteri; Cypriniformes; Cyprinidae
Exons: 3
Source: RefSeq, a predicted model, not a curated record
GUUAAAUGAAUAUGUAUAUUAUUAGGCUAUAUAAUGGUAAUGGAAAGUCCUUAGUGUCAUGAUGAUGAAGGGUUUAAACAUCCAAAAGAGGUAGCUGUGUUUUUGAAAUAUAAACAUUUUUAUUUUAUUUAAAUCCUACUUUUUAAUUGUAAGUGUUAUUUAGUAUAGUACAUGUUGAAAAACUGUGCCAGACUUCCAGUCUGGAGUCUAGACCUUUCUACAUCUUGUUUACCUACAUUGUCAGGAUUUAAAAGCCCCUUAUGUCAUUAACCCUGACUUUCUCCAGCAGAGACUUGGCUCAGUACAGACAAUCUGUUCUGUCUCCAAGACACCAGCUGGCAUGAGAAUACUUAUCGGCAGUCGUAACAAGAACAGUUUUCAGAAGCAAAACCGUAAGCCUGACUUCUCUCAAUGGACUUACCGGAUUGCAGGACGGGCUGGAACUGACCAGCCAUGCAGAUCUCGUCUUGUUUCUGGCGGACGAUGCGCUGGAUUGCAGGAGGCAGGCCACGGGGGUUGCGUGAGAAAACCAGGGCAUAGCCAUCCUCGCAUGUGCCAUCAUCCUUCAGAGUGCGGCAAGCACUCAUCACUAACCCGAAAAGAGUUACUCGGCCCUUGGAAGAGGCAGUCAUGGUGCCGUCAUCAUCAAUGGUGUAUUCGGCAGAGAUGUUGUCCUGGAGGAAGAGUCCCUCUGGGUCUUUC